AUCAGUUUGAAACAUUUUGUUACGUGUUUGGUCGUCAUUAAUUACGUGAUUUGUAAUUUCGUUAUGUGAUUUCGUGACGUGAUUUUUUUCAGUAGGGAGAAAUAUAUGAUGGAAGUCAAGAUCAAGAAGAGGGGAUAAAAAGAAGAGAGGGAAGACGGUGGAGCGGAGUUGGUGAGAUACGGGAUAUCGAAAUAUCGGGAGAGGACCAAUAGGAAGAGAAGGAGAGAGUCGUUCGAGAGUCGAAAGUCGAGUUGGCAGUACUGGAAAAAGGACGGUAGUAGCAUGUUUCGCGAACGCAUUGUGUACGAACACGUGGUCCACCGGCAAUGACAACAAGUAAGGCAGCAAUAAGUGAGAAGUGAAAGUAGAGAAAAUGGAUAGUUAGAAGAAAGGAAGAAGAGGACUGCUCGAGCGCCAGAGUGGAAAGAGGAAGUACAAAGAAGCGGAAUGAGAAAGAGACAAGGAGAAAAGAUGGCGGAGAACAAGAUCUUGGCGGAGAGCAGAGAGAGAACAGCGGAUCGAGAAGAGAAGAAUUAGCAAGCAGAUGGAAGAGACAGGAGCCGAGGAAAACAGAAAGAGAGGAACAGAAGGGAAGGAGGAGGAUGGACGAAAAGGAGGCAGAGCGAGUGGAAAGAACCAGCAGGAAGGAGACACAAGGUUGGACCAGGAGAAAGCGUAAAGAGGUGGAAAAAGGGGUAAUGGACAGAGAUCGAGAAACAUUGAAGAGGAGUGGAGAAAAGUCACCGAGGAGGAUAUAUGAAGAAAGCGAGAUUAAUCCGGAGAGAGAGAAGGUGGUGGAGCCGACCAGAAUGAAAAGGGAAAGAGAGGGAAGGAAAUAAGGGGGGAAAGGAGGGAUAGGGCGUGUGGGAAGGAGUGGGGGUUAAUAGUAUGUAGUGGCCGCCAAUGUCGGAUCGAAGGAGAUGAAAUUAAAUGUAAACGGUUCGGGAACGCUCCGUGAAAAAAGCGCCAUUGUGACUCCAUUAGGAAAACAAUAAAGCUUUUAUUCUAUUAUCAUUAUUUUGUUUUUUAAGUUAUUAAUCUCCUAAAAUUUAUUUUUAUUUUAAAAUUUUUUAAUGGGAAUGCGUCUUAGAUUUCAUUCUAAACUAUAUUUUUUCAAAAACAUCACUAAUUUUCAAAAAAUCGUCUUCUAAUUAAUUAUACAUUAAAUUUUUAAAGAAUAAUAUAUAUGUAUUUAAUAUUAUUCUAUUAUUUUUUUACUUAUUAAUAUUAUUAUCAUUAUUAUGUAUUUAUCAUUAUUAUAUUAAUUAUCAUUAUUAUAUAUGUUUUUAUGUAUUAAACAUGUAGAUAAAAUACUAUAGUCACAUACACUCAUACAAUUACAUACGCACGUAGAUAGAAUUCAUUAAAUUACAAACCCACGUAAAUAGAAUAUGAUAAACAUCCAUACACAUAGAUAAGAUUCCAGAUAGUACAGUUUCUUCUUAAAGAUUUCAUAAGGUAUUCUUCCUUUCUAAACAGUAAUUCCUUAGGAAUUCAUAGAAGAAUGCUUUAAAAAUAACAUAGGAAGUUAUACACCAUGAUUCGAAUUCCUCAGAACUUCUCAAAGUAUUCAUACAGAAUUGAAAUUCCUGAGAACUUCUUAAAAUAUUCAUUAGAACAUCUCCAAUAGUAGAUACCUCGAACAAUAUCCAGAGGAUGACAAGAAAUUUUUUGAGAUAUUGUAAUAUACCCUGGUGAAAAAAUUUGUCAGAAUUUUUAAAUUUUUCUUCAGGAUUUCUAAUAAAUGUUCCAAUUUUUUAUAAGAAUUGGAACGUUUCUCAAAAAAUUUUUUUAAAUUAAAAUUUUUGAUUUAUUUAGAAACGUUAUGUAAAUCUUUACAAGUUUAUAUAAUUUUACAUAAAAAUGUAUAUAAAAUAGUCUGACAAUAAUAUAUACAUGUAAUAUACACACGCAAACAGAAAAGCCUGACCAUACACAGAAAAAAAAAAUCCUUGUUGUAAAUAAAUUGUUAUUCUUAAAUGCUAUAUACAAUCUUAAUAUGAGUAUGAUGCUAUCUAUCGUUUUAAAGACUUGAAAAAAACCGGUUUUUUUUUAUUUUUCCGCGGAUUUUUUUGUUUUUUUUUUCCACAAGAGUAGCAAAAUUCGUCGAAAAAUUUGCAUAUGUUUUUCGUAAAAUUUAAAUUUACUUUUGUAUUUUUAAAUAACUAGAGAUAGUUUAAAAUUGGUCUGUCAUAUAUUUUCUGUUUUUAAAGUACUUUUUAGUAUUAAAGGACUACAUACACCUAAAGACGUAAAAAAUAGGCCUUUUUCUCGAUUUUUUUUCGAAAUGUAUGUAAUUAAUUUUAGUUUUCUUUAUUUUAUAAUACAUUCUUAAAACGUGUUUCAGAAUAAAUUUGAACUAAAAAUAUUAAAAAAUGGCGGAGAUAUUGUCCUCGUCGUAAGACCUUGUUGAAAAAAGGUGCUCCGCGGUAUUGAAUGGUCACGAAAUGCUGCACGAGUUUGCUGAAUAGCCAGAAGUCGCACGGUGCCAAAUCAGGUAAAUACGGUGGUUGUGGAAUGAUAUGGGUCGAAUUUUUGGCGAAAUGGUCACGAAGAAUCAAUGCAGUGUGAGACGCUGCAUUAUCGUGGUGCAAAAACCAAGAGUUGUCUCGCCACAAUUGCAGCUCGUACAGGACUUACUGUGUCCAAAAAGUAAAGUGACAUAGCAUUUAUUUUGAAAAAUCUUUAUUUAUGCUUCCAAAUCAAUUUUAUCGUCUUCAAAGUAAUCCCCCCCCCCCCGAUACAAAGUACUUAUGCCAACGCAUUUUCCAAUCUUCAAAACACUUGUUAAAGUCGAUUUCCGGGAUGGCCUCUCUCUUCGAUGCGGCUUGUAUCUUCUCUAUCGACUCAAAACGGUGUCUCCGGAGCUGUCUUUUGAGUUUGCUGAAUAGCCAGAAGUCGCACGGUGCCAAAUCAGGUAAAUACGGUGGUUGUGGAAUGAUAUGGGUCGAAUUUUUGGCGAAAUGGUCACGAUGAAUCAAUGCAGUGUGAGACGGUGCAUUAUCGUGGUACAAAAAUCAAGAGUUGUCUCGCCGGCUCAAUUCCGGCCUCUUUAGGCGAAUAGCCUUACGCAAACGAUGCAUAACGCUCAAAUAAUAUUCUUUCUUGACAGUUUGACUCGGCGGAAGAAACUCAAAAUGCAUAACACCACGACAAUCAAAGAAAAUAGUCAACAUGACCUUAAUUUUUGAGCGACUUUGGCGCGGUAUUUUUGGUCUUGCCUCACCUUUAGCACGAUAUUCACUUGAUAGAUCGAUUGUUUCCGGGUCGUAAGCAUAAAUCCAUGUCUCAUCUCCCGUAAUAAUGCGUUUCAUUUUGUCCUGAUACUCAGAAAGCAUUGUUUCACACACUUCAACGCGACGAUGUUUUUCCAAAAAAUUCAGUGUUUUCGGUACCAAUCGAGAUUUGACGCGUUUGAGGCCCAAAACAUUCUUUAAAAUGAUAUUGACUGAUACUUUUGAAAUGCCAUAUCAUCAACAAGAUCUCUAAUUGUUAGUUGAUUUGGUUUGCAAGCACCAAAUCUUUGAUUUUUUGGACGUGAGCUUUGUCGCUUGAAGCUGAUAGUCGUCCGGGACGCUCUUCGUCUUCGACGCGUUCUCGGCCUUCUUGGAAAUUUUUAUACCACUUGUAAACAUUUUUUUUCGACAAAGCCUCAUCACCAAAGGCUUUCUGUACCAUCCUCAACAAAUCAGCAGCAGAAAAUUCAUUCCGCAAACAAAAUUUAAUGCAAAUUCUUUGCUCAACAAAUUUAGACAUUAUAAAAA
RNAcentral lists this long non-coding RNA (3764 nucleotides) under Monomorium pharaonis (pharaoh ant). RNAcentral describes it as "uncharacterized LOC114255574". Lineage: Eukaryota; Metazoa; Arthropoda; Insecta; Hymenoptera; Formicidae. The record is from RNAcentral.